RNAcentral lists this ribosomal RNA (468 nucleotides) under uncultured bacterium. RNAcentral describes it as "partial 16S ribosomal RNA". It matches the Rfam family "Bacterial small subunit ribosomal RNA", at positions 28 to 507 of the family's 1533-position model. The record is from RNAcentral.
GACGAACGCUGGCGGCGUGCUUAACACAUGCAAGUCGAACGGAAAGGCCCUGCUUUUGUGGGGUGCUCGAGUGGCGAACGGGUGAGUAACACGUGAGUAACCUGCCCUUGACUUUGGGAUAACUUCAGGAAACUGGGGCUAAUACCGGAUAGGAGCUCCUGCCGCAUGGUGGGGGUUGGAAAGUUUCGGCGGUUGGGGAUGGACUCGCGGCUUAUCAGCUUGUUGGUGGGGUAGUGGCUUACCAAGGCUUUGACGGGUAGCCGGCCUGAGAGGGUGACCGGCCACAUUGGGACUGAGAUACGGCCCAGACUCCAUCGGGAGGCAGCAGUGGGGAAUAUUGCACAAUGGGCGGAAGCCUGAGGCAGCGACGCCGCGUGCGGGAUGACGGCCUUCGGGUUGUAAACCGCUUUCGCCUGUGACGAAGCGUGAGUGACGGUAAUGGGUAAAGAAGCACCGGCUAACUACGUG